Molecule: ribosomal RNA, 564 nt
Filed under: uncultured bacterium
Lineage: Bacteria
Description: bacterial SSU rRNA
Rfam family: Bacterial small subunit ribosomal RNA
Source: RNAcentral
GGAUUGCGNAUGGGCGAAGCCUGACGCAGCAACGCCGCGUGAGUGAUGAAGGUCUUCGGAUCGUAAAGCUCUGUCGGCAGGAGAGACGGGGUUGUUGUCUAACAGACAGCAAUUCUGACGGUACCUGCAAAGGAAGCACCGGCUAACUCUGUGCCAGCAGCCGCGGUAAGACAGAGGGUGCAAGCGUUGUUCGGAAUUAUUGGGCGUAAAGCGCGCGUAGGCGGCGAGGUAAGUCGAAUGUGAAAUCCCGUGGCUCAACCAUGGAAGUGCAUUCGAAACUACCUUGCUCGAGUGUCGGAGAGGGUGGUGGAAUUCCCAGUGUAGAGGUGAAAUUCGUAGAUAUUGGGAGGAACACCAGUGGCGAAGGCGACCACCUGGACGACAACUGACGCUGAGGCGCGAGAGCGUGGGGAGCAAACAGGAUUAGAUACCCUGGUAGUCCACGCCGUAAACGAUGGGUACUAGGUGUUGCGGGUAUUGACCCCUGCAGUGCCGACGCUAACGCAAUAAGUACCCCGCCUGGGAAGUACGGCCGCAAGGCUAAAACUCAAAGAAAUUGACGGA